AUACGCGUAAAAGCGAAUGGGGGAUAAAAUCCCCCAUUUUUAUCUUUCAAAACGUCUGUUUUG
Molecule: small RNA, 63 nt
Filed under: Brenneria salicis ATCC 15712 = DSM 30166
Lineage: Bacteria; Pseudomonadati; Pseudomonadota; Gammaproteobacteria; Enterobacterales; Pectobacteriaceae
Description: isrK Hfq binding RNA
Source: RNAcentral